GUUAUCGUUUAUUUGAUAGUACCUUACUACUUGGAUAACCGUGGUAAUUCUAGAGCUAAUACAUGCUGAAAACCCCAACUUCGGGAGGGGUGUGUUUAUUAGAUAAAAAACCAACGCCCUUCGGGGCUUCUUGGUGAUUCAUGAUAACUUCACGGAUCGCAUGGCCUUGCGCCGGCGACGGUUCAUUCAAAUUUCUGCCCUAUCAACUUUCGAUGGUAAGGUAUUGGCUUACCAUGGUCUCAACGGGUAACGGGGAAUUAGGGUUCGAUUCCGGAGAGGGAGCCUGAGAAACGGCUACCACAUCCAAGGAAGGCAGCAGGCGCGCAAAUUACCCAAUCCCGACACGGGGAGGUAGUGACAAUAAAUACUGAUACAGGGCUCUUUUGGGUCUUGUAAUUGGAAUGAGUACAAUUUAAACCUCUUAACGAGGAACAAUUGGAGGGCAAGUCUGGUGCCAGCAGCCGCGGUAAUUCCAGCUCCAAUAGCGUAUAUUAAAGUUGUUGCAGUUAAAAAGCUCGUAGUUGAAACUUGG
Molecule: ribosomal RNA, 532 nt
Filed under: uncultured fungus
Lineage: Eukaryota; Fungi
Description: SSU rRNA
Rfam family: Eukaryotic small subunit ribosomal RNA
Source: RNAcentral